GAUGAAGAACGUAGCGAAAUGCGAUAAGUAAUGUGAAUUGCAGAAUUCAGUGAAUCAUCGAAUCUUUGAACGCACAUUGCGCCCUCUGGUAUUCCGGGGGGCAUGCCUGUUCGAGCGUCAUUAUAACCACUCAAGCUCUCGCUUGGUAUUGGGGUUCGCGGUUUCGCGGCCCCUAAAAUCAGUGGCGGUGCCUGUCGGCUCUACGCGUAGUAAUACUUCUCGCGAUUGAGUUCGAUAGGUCUACUUGCCAGUAACCCCCAAUUUUUACAGGUUGACCUCGGAUCAGGUAGGGAUACCCGCUGAACUUAAGCAUAUCAAUAAGCGGAUGA
RNAcentral lists this unclassified non-coding RNA (329 nucleotides) under soil metagenome. Its description in RNAcentral is "partial contains 5.8S ribosomal RNA, internal transcribed spacer 2, and large subunit ribosomal RNA". The stretch from base 1 to 120 matches the Rfam family "5.8S ribosomal RNA", at positions 35 to 154 of the family's 154-position model. The record is from RNAcentral.